GAGUUUGAUCGUGGCUCAGAUUGAACGCUGGCGGCAGGCCUAACACAUGCAAGUCGAGCGGUAGAGAGAAGCUUGCUUCUCUUGAGAGGCGGCGGACGGGUGAGUAAUGCCUAGGAAUCUGCCUGGUAGUGGGGGAUAACGCUCGGAAACGGACGCUAAUACCGCAUACGUCCUACGGGAGAAAGCAGGGGACCUUCGGGCCUUGCGCUAUCAGAUGAGCCUAGGUCGGAUUAGCUAGUUGGUGAGGUAAUGGCUCACCAAGGCGACGAUCCGUAACUGGUCUGAGAGGAUGAUCAGUCACACUGGAACUGAGACACGGUCCAGACUCCUACGGGAGGCAGCAGUGGGGAAUAUUGGACAAUGGGCGAAAGCCUGAUCCAGCCAUGCCGCGUGUGUGAAGAAGGUCUUCGGAUUGUAAAGCAC
This 423-nucleotide ribosomal RNA is filed under the name uncultured bacterium. RNAcentral's name for it is "bacterial SSU rRNA". It matches the Rfam family "Bacterial small subunit ribosomal RNA", at positions 9 to 433 of the family's 1533-position model. The record is from RNAcentral.